UACGUAGGGGGCAAGCGUUAUCCGGAUUUACUGGGUGUAAAGGGGGCGCAGACGGCAGCGCAAGCCUGGAGUGAAAGCCCGGGGCCCAACCCCGGGACUGCUCUUGGAACUGCGCGGCUGGAGUGCAGGAGGGGCAGGCGGAAUUCCUGGUGUAGCGGUGAAAUGCGUAGAUAUCAGGAGGAACACCGGUGGCGAAGGCGGCCUGCUGGACUGCGACUGACGUUGAGGCCCGAAAGCGUGGGGAGCAAACAGG
RNAcentral lists this ribosomal RNA (253 nucleotides) under uncultured bacterium. RNAcentral describes it as "partial 16S ribosomal RNA". It matches the Rfam family "Bacterial small subunit ribosomal RNA", at positions 524 to 776 of the family's 1533-position model. The record is from RNAcentral.